GAUGAACGCUGGCGGCGUGCCUAAUACAUGCAAGUCGAGCGAACAGACGAGGAGCUUGCUCCUCUGACUUUAUCGGCGGACGGGUGAGUAACACGUGGAUAACCUACCUAUAAGACUGGGAUAACUUCGGGAAACCGGAGCUAAUACCGGAUAAUAUAUUGAACCGCAUGGUUCAAUAGUGAAAGACGGUUUUGCUGUCACUUAUAGAUGGAUCCGCGCCGCAUUAGCUAGUUGGUAAGGUAACGGCUUACCAAGGCAACGAUGCGUAGCCGACCUGAGAGGGUGGUCGGCCACACUGGAACUGAGGAACGGUCCAGACUCCUACGGGAGGCAGCAGUAGGGAAUCUUCCGCAAUGGGCGAAAGCCUGACGGAGCAACGCCGCGUGAGUGAUGAAGGUCUUCGGAUCGUAAAACUCUGUUAUUAGGGAAGAACAAAUGUGUAAGUAACUAUGCACGUAUUGACGGUACCUAAUCAGAAAGCCACGGCUAACUACGUG
Molecule: ribosomal RNA, 497 nt
Filed under: uncultured bacterium
Lineage: Bacteria
Description: partial 16S ribosomal RNA
Rfam family: Bacterial small subunit ribosomal RNA
Source: RNAcentral